This 76-nucleotide transfer RNA is filed under the name Deltaproteobacteria bacterium. Its description in RNAcentral is "tRNA-Ala". It matches the Rfam family "tRNA". From Rfam's summary of the family: Transfer RNA (tRNA) molecules are approximately 80 nucleotides in length. Their secondary structure includes four short double-helical elements and three loops (D, anti-codon, and T loops). Further hydrogen bonds mediate the characteristic L-shaped molecular structure. tRNAs have two regions of fundamental functional importance: the anti-codon, which is responsible for specific mRNA codon recognition, and the 3' end, to which the tRNAs corresponding amino acid is attached (by aminoacyl-tRNA synthetases). tRNAs cope with the degeneracy of the genetic code in two manners: having more than one tRNA (with a specific anti-codon) for a particular amino acid; and 'wobble' base-pairing, i.e. permitting non-standard base-pairing at the 3rd anti-codon position. The record is from RNAcentral. Lineage: Bacteria; Pseudomonadati; Myxococcota; Myxococcia.
GGGGAAUUAGCUCAGUUGGGAGAGCGCGGCGUUCGCAAUGCUGAGGUCAGGGGUUCAAGUCCCCUAUUCUCCACCA